GACGAACGCUGGCGGCGUGCCUAAUACAUGCAAGUAGAACGCACAGUUUAUACCGUAGCUUGCUACACCAUAGACUGUGAGUUGCGAACGGGUGAGUAACGCGUAGGUAACCUGCCUGGUAGCGGGUGAUAACUAUUGGAAACGAUAGCUAAUACCGCAUAAUAUUAAUUAUUGCAUGAUAAUUAAUUGAAAGGUGCAAUUGCACCACUACCAGAUGGACCUGCGUUGUAUUAGCUAGUAGGUGAGGUAACGGCUCACCUAGGCGACGAUACAUAGCCGACCUGGGAGGGUGAUCGGCCACACUGGGACUGAGACACGGCCCAGACUCCUACGGGAGGCAGCAGUAGGGAAUCUUCGGCAAUGGACGAAAGUCUGACCGAGCAACGCCGCGUGAGUGAAGAAGGUUUUCGGAUCGUAAAGCUCUGUUGUAAGAGAAGAACGGGUGUGAGAGUGGAAAGUUCACACUGUGACGGUAUCUUACCAGAAAGGGACGGCUAACUACGUG
RNAcentral lists this ribosomal RNA (505 nucleotides) under uncultured bacterium. Its description in RNAcentral is "partial 16S ribosomal RNA". It matches the Rfam family "Bacterial small subunit ribosomal RNA", at positions 28 to 507 of the family's 1533-position model. The record is from RNAcentral.